AUGCAGGAGUUCCUGACGAUUGGAAUACAGGUGACAUAUAUAUGCCAGGCAGUAUGCUUAUAUGGAGAAAUUCUACAGAAGACUGCAGGUAGUGCAGAAGAAUUCAACAUCAACAAAGCUAGCUUUCAGUUGGACAAGAAGAAAAAAGAAUGCAUGGCGAGGGAAAUAUACAUGGGAGUUAUUAGUGCAGAUUUUCAAGGAAGCCUGCUUCUCAUUAAGGCCAUCUGGGUGUGGUCACUAUAUUUGGCUGGAAGUGCGACGAAGACUAAGCAAGAUGUUACAUGCAACAUGGUUUGUCGUCAGUUACGACAGUUUGGGCUGUUCGUUCUGCAUCUUAAGAAUGGGGUUUCUUGCUGCUCAUGCCAUUAUACUGCAGGAGGAGAUACAUGGUAUAGGUGUGAGUUGGAUUUGGUGAACCUACAGGACAGUAAGGUGAUGUUAGUGGUGCUGAGCUCUUGGAACUGUGAGUUAGUAACGAGGGCGGUGCAACCUCGACCUUCUUGGGAGUCUCAUUCAUUGGAAAAAUUAUCCAGCUUGCUACAUUCUGCCACAAGUGACAAUGAAAACACAGAAGUACAGGUCAGCAUGAUGCUUAUGCAUACAUCAGUUCAGUGGCAUUACUUGAGGAAAGAGGAAUUUGAGGGGAGUGGAAAUUCUUCAAGAGACGGCCUGAUGGUACCCCAAUUAGCAAAUGGAAUCCAGGGAUCUAAACUUAGGAGUUCCAACCAAGUGUCUGCUUUUCAUCAAUGGUCGGCACACUGCUUAUUUUCAGGCGCAAAAUGGCUUUGGCAGAAGGAAAUUGCACAUCCAUGCUACAUGGUAAGGGAACAUUGGCAGCUUCAUACUGAUCUUGGCAGUGCUCACAUGAGGAGAGUGCGACCUAAUGCAGCAGAGAGCAAGGGAUUCAUGAGCAAAAUCUGGCUAGGCUUUGGCAUCCCACUGGUAAAUAGUAACCUAACAGGGAACAAGCCGCUGAUGUUUAGUACUAACCCUGCAAAGGAUUUGUGA
RNAcentral lists this ribosomal RNA (1008 nucleotides) under Triticum aestivum (bread wheat). RNAcentral's name for it is "partial small subunit ribosomal RNA". Lineage: Eukaryota; Viridiplantae; Streptophyta; Magnoliopsida; Poales; Poaceae. The record is from RNAcentral.